RNAcentral lists this long non-coding RNA (407 nucleotides) under Carica papaya (papaya). RNAcentral's name for it is "long non-coding RNA (CPAP_LNC003629)". Lineage: Eukaryota; Viridiplantae; Streptophyta; Magnoliopsida; Brassicales; Caricaceae. The record is from RNAcentral.
AGACUCUCUUCAGGGCAUCUUUAUUUGUGAAUUAUUCAUUACCUAUCUACUUGAGAACACGCAUUUCUGCACAGAUGCAUUGGAAAUCUAUAUAUGGUAGAUUAAAAAAAUGGGAUGCUGCAUGUCCCUGAUCUGGCUGUUGUACAAGUAGCAGACAGGUUGUUCAUACAUUUAUUUAACUAUUUAUUCUUCAAUAAAAUGGCUUGAGAUUAGUGAAAUAACUAGGCUGGAUAGAUCAGAUGUCUCCCUAAACAAAGAAGCCCGGAAUACUUUUAUUAAUUUAGGUUAGCAUUUAAUUAGCUGCCCUGAGGAAAUUGGUAUCUUGACCUCUUUGAGAAUAAUCAUAUAUUCAUAUAUUACAUUAUAGAGAAGGCAAGAAAUAGUUAUGUUAUCUAAAUGCCUGUUUC